GGAUGGAUCAUUAAAAUAAUGACCUUUGUCAUAAACCCUUUGUUGAACUCUGUUUCAUCACUCCCUUUUUUUUAGAUGCUUCGUGAACAAAUUUAAUCCUUGGUCAGUGAGAAGGCCUAUCGUGGUUAAAACCGUUCACAUUAUGGAGUGUCUUCUUGAAAAGGUUUCUCACAUUUUUAUUACCCCAUUUUUUUACAAACCCUUUUAACCAAAACAAUAACCUAUGAAUCCGUUUUGCUCUCGAAAGAGAACGAAACAUAUUUCUAAUAAGAAAUUUUCCGUACAAUUCUUAGCAACGGAUAUCUAGGCUCUCGUACCGAUGAAGACCGCAGCGAAAUGCGAUACGUAAUGCGAAUUGCAGAAUUCAGUGAGCGAUCAAAGUGUUGAACGUAACUUACGCCAUUGGGUAUCCCUGAUGGCAUACUUCUUUGAGUAUCGUUACACCUCUCUACCGGCCUCGUGCUUUUGGUAGGAUAAGGAGCUUUUUCUUCAGCGUAAAACCUGAAGUGGCUUUUGUACGAUACGACAGCAGACUGUUCAAGUCGCGGUGCUUGAUAAUAGACUAUUUCAGUCUACUCACAUUUAGCCCCGCCUCACUCUUUCUCGGAAGGGUUUGCUUGUUACUUGCUCAAUGUCAAAACAUGCUGUCAUCAAACAAUCGAGUUAUUGUGGGUGAUACCUGCUGAUACUGAUACUCGUAUCUAUUCUCAGCUUUCAUAUCAUCCCUUCUUUGUUCAUGAUCUCAGAUGAAGUAAGAGAACCCGCCGAAUUUAAGCAUAUUAUUAAGCGGAGGAAAAGAAACUAACAAGGAUUCCCCUAGUAACGGCGAGUGAAGCGGGAAGAGCUCAAAGUUAAAAUCGGUAUACCUAGCGGUAUCUCCGAAUUGUAAUCUAGAGACAUCCUAUCAGUCCCGACCCGGGUAUAAAUCUUUUGAAACAAGGUCUCAUAGAGGGUGAGAAGCCCGUCUUUGACUUGGAGUUCGGGACGUACGAGGGGUGUUCCAAGAGUCGAAUAGCUUGGGAAUGCUGUUCAAAAUGGGUGGUAAAUUUCAUCUAAAGCUAAAUAUCGACGAGAGACCGAUAGCGAACAAGUACCGUGAGGGAAAGAUGAAAAGAACUUUGAAAAGAGAGUUAAAAAGUACUUGAAAUUGUUAAGAAGGAAGCACUAAAAACCAGUCUUACUUUUUUUAUAUGGGCGCUACGUUGAUAAGAGGGCAAAUCGGGACUUCAACGCCUGACCAAACUUCAAACUCAGCGUAGCGUUCUCGUAGGGAGAGUGAGUCAAGAUCAGGUAUUUUCGCAGAAGAAAACUCGUUAAAGGUGCUCUUCUUCGGGAGAGACUAAUCUGGAGCGAGUCAAACUGUGGAGGUGCCUGAGGAACCACGAUAAUGCGCUCCGCAAGGCUGCUGGUGGUUGUUCCUAGCGAUCUGUGCGCGUGAAGCAUAAAUGCUGUAGCGUUCGCAGGUUGUUACUGGGUGAUCACUUGACCGCGCAUUCGCGAUCUUGACGAAAUGGUUUUUAUUGACCCGUCUUGAAACACGGACCAAGGAGUCUAACAUAUAUGCGAGUAUUUGGGCCUGAAAACCCUGAUGCGCAAUGAAAGUGAAGCUAAACUCUGUUUAGUGAGGUAGGAACCGCAAGGGGCACUAUCGACCGAUCGUUCAUUCAUGAAAGAUUUGAGUAAGAGCAUAUCUGUUGGGACCCGAAAGAUGGUGAACUAUGCCUGAUCAGGGUGAAGCCAGGGGAAACUAUGGUGGAGGCUCGUAGCGAUACUGACGUGCAAAUCGUUCGUCUGAAUUGGGUAUAGGGGCGAAAGACUAAUCGAACUAUCUGGUUGCUGGUUCCCGC
This 1847-nucleotide unclassified non-coding RNA is filed under the name uncultured fungus. RNAcentral's name for it is "sequence contains 18S rRNA gene, ITS1, 5.8S rRNA gene, ITS2, 28S rRNA gene". The stretch from base 738 to 1847 matches the Rfam family "Eukaryotic large subunit ribosomal RNA", at positions 1 to 961 of the family's 3401-position model. The record is from RNAcentral. Lineage: Eukaryota; Fungi.